RNAcentral lists this ribosomal RNA (253 nucleotides) under uncultured bacterium. RNAcentral describes it as "partial 16S ribosomal RNA". It matches the Rfam family "Bacterial small subunit ribosomal RNA", at positions 524 to 776 of the family's 1533-position model. The record is from RNAcentral.
UACAGAGGUCUCAAGCGUUGUUCGGAUUCAUUGGGCGUAAAGGGCGCGUAGGCUGCGGGGCAAGUCGGAUGUGAAAUCUCAGAGCUCAACUCUGAAACUGCACUCGAUACUGCUUUGCUUGAGGACUGGAGAGGAGAUUGGAAUUCACGGUGUAGCAGUGAAAUGCGUAGAUAUCGUGAGGAAGACCAGUGGCGAAGGCGGGUCUCUGGACAGUUCCUGACGCUGAGGCACGAAGGCCAGGGGAGCAAACGGG